UACGGGAGGCAGCAGUGGGGAAUAUUGCACAAUGGGCGCAAGCCUGAUGCAGCCAUGCCGCGUGUAUGAAGAAGGCCUUCGGGUUGUAAAGUACUUUCAGUCGUGAGGAAGGUGUUAAGGUUAAUAACCUUAGCAAUUGACGUUAGCGACAGAAGAAGCACCGGCUAACUCCGUGCCAGCAGCCGCGGUAAUACGGAGGGUGCGAGCGUUAAUCGGAAUUACUGGGCGUAAAGGGCACGCAGGCGGUUAAUUAAGUUGGAUGUGAAAUCCCCGGGCUUAACCUGGGAAUGGCAUUCAAGACUGGUUAGCUAGAGUCUUGUAGAGGGGGUAGAAUUCCAUGUGUAGCGGUGAAAUGCGUAGAGAUGUGGAGGAAUACCGGUGGCGAAGGCGGCCCCUGGCAAAGACUGACGCUCAUGUGCGAAAGCGUGAGGAGCAAACAGGAUUAGAUACC
This 451-nucleotide ribosomal RNA is filed under the name uncultured bacterium. RNAcentral describes it as "bacterial SSU rRNA". It matches the Rfam family "Bacterial small subunit ribosomal RNA", at positions 340 to 786 of the family's 1533-position model. The record is from RNAcentral.